This 646-nucleotide unclassified non-coding RNA is filed under the name Hevea brasiliensis (rubber tree). Lineage: Eukaryota; Viridiplantae; Streptophyta; Magnoliopsida; Malpighiales; Euphorbiaceae. The record is from RNAcentral.
UAUUUUAAAGAUUUAUCAAACACUUUGAUUUACCUUUUUUGAUGCCUAUCAUCUGUCCUUGAAGAACAGAAGUAAGAUGCAGCACAAAGUGCUUGUCAACAAAUUAUACAUAUCAUGCAUUAACACAGAACUGUCGAGAAAUUUGAAAGAAGCGAUACAAGUCUACAGAGGUCAUAACAUCAAACUCUUUGAAACCGCAGAAACACAAAGCAAUGUCAAUCAGUUAUGUUUUGCAGCAAACAGUUAUCUUGAUCUAUUUUGCUUUCACAAGGUCAGCUCUAGGCCUCCAGAGCCCCAGCCUAUAUUUAUGGGCAUGGUUCAAUAUCAGCUUCCUGUGCUGGCAGGGAAUGCCUAUCUUCUUGAGCUUCAAGGUUCGAGUAACAAGAAGUUUCUGUAAGUCACCAAUCUCAGAUUCAAGCUUGGCUGCAUGGGCUUCAACUCCUUUACCUAUUCCAUUUAGAAACUCUGGAAUUCCAACUUUCACGAUGUAAGCUGGGCAUUUGGAGAAGAAUCUAGAGAACCCAGGUAUUGAAUUUUCAUGUGGUAUAGAAAAUGCCCUUGUGUUGUUGAUCAUUCGCCUCCAUGCCAUCUUGGAAUCUCUCUCUGUGUACGAUCAAAGACACAGACCAAUACACCCCCCUUCGGC